CGAGCGAACGGACGAGAAGCUUGCUUCUCUGAUGUUAGCGGCGGACGGGUGAGUAACACGUGGAUAACCUACCUAUAAGACUGGGAUAACUUCGGGAAACCGGAGCUAAUACCGGAUAAUAUUUUGAACCGCAUGGUUCAAAAGUGAAAGACGGUCUUGCUGUCACUUAUAGAUGGAUCCGCGCUGCAUUAGCUAGUUGGUAAGGUAACGGCUUACCAAGGCAACGAUGCAUAGCCGACCUGAGAGGGUGAUCGGCCACACUGGAACUGAGACACGGUCCAGACUCCUACGGGAGGCAGCAGUAGGGAAUCUUCCGCAAUGGGCGAAAGCCUGACGGAGCAACGCCGCGUGAGUGAUGAAGGUCUUCGGAUCGUAAAACUCUGUUAUUAGGGAAGGACAUAUGUGUAAGUAACUGUGCACAUCUUGACGGUACCUAAUCAGAAAGCCACGGCUAACUACGUGCCAGCAGCCGCGGUAAUACGUAGGUGGCAAGCGUUAUCCGGAAUUAUUGGGCGUAAAGCGCGCGUAGGCGGUUUUUUAAGUCUGAUGUGAAAGCCCACGGCUCAACCGUGGAGGGUCAUUGGAAACUGGAAAACUUGAGUGCAGAAGAGGAAAGUGGAAUUCCAUGUGUAGCGGUGAAAUGCGCAGAGAUAUGGAGGAACACCAGUGGCGAAGGCGACUUUCUGGUCUGUAACUGACGCUGAUGUGCGAAAGCGUGGGGAUCAAACAGGAUUAGA
This 737-nucleotide ribosomal RNA is filed under the name uncultured Staphylococcus sp. RNAcentral describes it as "bacterial SSU rRNA". It matches the Rfam family "Bacterial small subunit ribosomal RNA", at positions 63 to 782 of the family's 1533-position model. The record is from RNAcentral. Lineage: Bacteria; Bacillati; Bacillota; Bacilli; Caryophanales; Staphylococcaceae.